ACACGACUACAUUAGAUACCCCCGUAGUCCUAGCCGUAAACGAUACUCGCUAGGUGUCGGCCACGGUGCGACCGUUGUCGGUGCCGUAGGGAAGCCGUGAAGCGAGCCACCUGGGAAGUACGGCCGCAAGGCUGAAACUUAAGGAAUUGGCGGGGGAGCACCACAACGGGUGGAGCUUGCGGUUUAAUUGGAUUCAACGCCGGAAAUCUUACCGGGACCGACAGCAACAUGAAGGCCAGGCUGAAGACUUUGCCGGAUUAGCUG
Molecule: ribosomal RNA, 264 nt
Filed under: uncultured archaeon
Lineage: Archaea
Description: partial 16S ribosomal RNA
Rfam family: Archaeal small subunit ribosomal RNA
Source: RNAcentral